Molecule: ribosomal RNA, 234 nt
Filed under: uncultured bacterium
Lineage: Bacteria
Description: partial 16S ribosomal RNA
Rfam family: Bacterial small subunit ribosomal RNA
Source: RNAcentral
UGAGGAACAUGACCUUCGGCGGGGGAUAGCCGGCCCAACGGCCGGGUAAUACCGCGUACGACCACAUGGGGACAUCCCUGAGUGGUGAAAGCAGCAAUGCGCCGAUGGAGUGCCUCGCGGCCUAUCAGCUAGUUGGUGAGGUAACGGCUCACCAAGGCGACGACGGGUAGCUGGUCUGAGAGGAUGGCCAGCCACAUUGGGACUGAGACACGGCCCUGACCUCCGUAGGGACGG